GUAUGUUUAUUUCUCAGCUUUUAACCUUGCCAACUUGGGCAACCUCUUAAAUACUAAUGACUUUGUGGGCUCUGACAAUUGUACUUUCUUAAAGCAGCCCCCGUGGGCCCCUCCCAUCCACGAAAGACCAAGAGCGCGACUGUCUGUGCAGAUGGCCUCUGGACAGCGCAGCAGAUUCCCGGGAUAAUGAGUCAGGGAGGGUGAGGCUCCAGGCAGAGCCAAGGUGACUUGGAGCUGCAGACACCCAGGUAGAGCCCUGGCGCUCACCAGUAGAAGACGCUGCAGCUGCCUCCUGUCCCCUCAGGCCUAAUGAGAAGAGACAGGCCCACCUUGGCGCCUGCUGGGGGAGGUGUAGGGAGCUCCUUGGGGUCCAGCAGGCCCUUCUCUGCACAGGCUGACGGCCCCACUAGUUCCUCAGUGCUGGAAGAGAAAUUGGCUUCCUUUUAAGGGGACAGAGCUCUCUGUUGGGGUCAUAAGCUCCCCAUCUCCCAGGACCAACUCUGGUUUCCCUCCAAGACAGCUUAGGUGUAUGUGUGAGGGUUUUAAGAGGUGUGCAAAUUCAGGGUCUGUCUCCCCAGGAUGGAGGUUUGGGUACUAGAUACAGGUGAGAGGUCAUAAGAGCCACUCAACCCUCUCCCCGUGCCCCGUCCCCACGCCAGCACCUGAUUACAGUGUGGUGCAGAUUAGUG
Molecule: long non-coding RNA, 689 nt
Filed under: Marmota monax (woodchuck)
Lineage: Eukaryota; Metazoa; Chordata; Mammalia; Rodentia; Sciuridae
Source: RNAcentral